RNAcentral lists this long non-coding RNA (834 nucleotides) under Chinchilla lanigera (long-tailed chinchilla). Its description in RNAcentral is "lncRNA (ENSCLAG00000024716.1)". Lineage: Eukaryota; Metazoa; Chordata; Mammalia; Rodentia; Chinchillidae. The record is from RNAcentral.
CACUGUCCCCUUCCCCGGAGAAGGAGUGGCUUCCUUGGGUGCGGCUCUGGAAUAACUCAGUCCCAAGGAUUUAGGAGUCAGGACAGCGGCUUGUGUCCCGAGCUGCUUCUGAGCUGUGCGUGCGUGCGUGUGUGUGUGUGUGUGUGUGUGUGCGCGUGUGUGUGUGUGUGCGCGCGCGUGUGCAGAGUGCCUGGGCCUAUGGCGCUCAAGGGCAAGGGCGGCAGGGGCUGCGAGGCGUGAGGGCAGUCAGGUGGCCGAGACCCGCGGCCGUGCGGGCAGAGGUCCACGGACUGACGCGCUCUCACAAACUUUCCUUUGAUUGUUUUCCUCACGGUGGAGGUGUGCCCACUUUAAUAUACAGCCAUACAGCAAAAUCCCAGCCCCCAGAGAUCAGGUGCAAGGAAGACAGGAGCAGAAGACGACCUCCCGCCACGCAGCACCACCUUCCUCCCCAGGGGAAGCCAUGCAGUGGGGAGCACUGGCCUCUGGGCCAGCCCCUAGCCAUGCAAGUGCCUGGGAGGUGGGCAGCUGUUGCUUGGGAAGCUAUGUGGCAGAGAGCGCUGGCGCACACUGUCCCUAAAACCAACCACCACUGCACAGUCAAGAACUAUCAUGGCACAAAGAAGCAAUGACAAGAUUGGCCCGCCACAUGUCAGCAGUGGAGGUCUGCCCAGGGAUGUGCAUGAAUCAUCCCAACAUGGAGAAACCCCUGGGAAUACAUGCCACACAAAGGGUUGCUCUUGCCCCUGCUGUUGAGAACCAGAAAGGUCCAGAGUCAGUGGAGGAGCAGCUGCUGAACAAGGACUCGGAGAACAUGAGAAUACAGACUAAGCC